Molecule: non-coding RNA, 70 nt
Organism: Rattus norvegicus (Norway rat)
Lineage: Eukaryota; Metazoa; Chordata; Mammalia; Rodentia; Muridae
Source: Rfam
GGGGAUUUAGCUCAGUGGUAGAGCGCUUGCCUAGGGAAGGGCAAGGCCCUGGGUUCGGUCCCCAGCUCCG